GACGAACGCUGGCGGCGUGCCUAAUACAUGCAAGUAGAACGCUGAAACUUGGUGCUUGCACCGUGCGGAUGAGUUGCGAACGGGUGAGUAACGCGUAGGUAACCUGCCUGGUAGCGGGGGAUAACUAUUGGAAACGAUAGCUAAUACCGCAUAAGAGUAGAUGUUGCAUGACAUUUGCUUAAAAGGUGCAAUUGCACCACUACCAGAUGGACCUGCGUUGUAUUAGCUAGUUGGUGGGGUAACGGCUCACCAAGGCGACGAUACAUAGCCGACCUGAGAGGGUGAUCGGCCACACUGGGACUGAGACACGGCCCAGACUCCUACGGGAGGCAGCAGUAGGGAAUCUUCGGCAAUGGACGGAAGUCUGACCGAGCAACGCCGCGUGAGUGAAGAAGGUUUUCGGAUCGUAAAGCUCUGUUGUAAGAGAAGAACGAGUGUGAGAGUGGAAAGUUCACACUGUGACGGUAUCUUACCAGAAAGGGACGGCUAACUACGUG
This 497-nucleotide ribosomal RNA is filed under the name uncultured bacterium. RNAcentral describes it as "partial 16S ribosomal RNA". It matches the Rfam family "Bacterial small subunit ribosomal RNA", at positions 28 to 507 of the family's 1533-position model. The record is from RNAcentral.